AGCGGUAGAGAGAAGCUUGCUUCUCUUGAGAGCGGCGGACGGGUGAGUAAUGCCUAGGAAUCUGCCUGGUAGUGGGGGAUAACGUUCGGAAACGAACGCUAAUACCGCAUACGUCCUACGGGAGAAAGCAGGGGACCUUCGGGCCUUGCGCUAUCAGAUGAGCCUAGGUCGGAUUAGCUAGUUGGUGGGGUAAUGGCUCACCAAGGCGACGAUCCGUAACUGGUCUGAGAGGAUGAUCAGUCACACUGGAACUGAGACACGGUCCAGACUCCUACGGGAGGCAGCAGUGGGGAAUAUUGGACAAUGGGCGAAAGCCUGAUCCAGCCAUGCCGCGUGUGUGAAGAAGGUCUUCGGAUUGUAAAGCACUUUAAGUUGGGAGGAAGGGCAGUUACCUAAUACGUGAUUGUUUUGACGUUACCGACAGAAUAAGCACCGGCUAACUCUGUGCCAGCAGCCGCGGUAAUACAGAGGGUGCAAGCGUUAAUCGGAAUUACUGGGCGUAAAGCGCGCGUAGGUGGUUCGUUAAGUUGGAUGUGAAAUCCCCGGGCUCAACCU
RNAcentral lists this ribosomal RNA (555 nucleotides) under arctic soil bacterium S5TW3. RNAcentral's name for it is "bacterial SSU rRNA". It matches the Rfam family "Bacterial small subunit ribosomal RNA", at positions 65 to 615 of the family's 1533-position model. The record is from RNAcentral.